AUGAACGCUGGCGGUAUGCUUAACACCUGCAAGUCGCACGGUCACUUCGGUGAUAGUGGCGGACGGGUGAGUAACGCGUGAGAAUCUGUCUUCAGGUCGGGGACAACAGUUAGAAAUGACUGCUAAUACCGGAUGUGCCUUUGGGUGAAAGAUUUAUUGCCUGAAAAAGAGCUCGCGUCAGAUUAGCUAGUAGGUGGUGUAAGAGACUACCUAGGCUCCGAUCUGUAGCUGGUCUGAGAGGACGAUCAGCCACACUGGAACUGAGACACGGUCCAGACUCCUACGGGAGGCAGCAGUGGGGAAUUUUCCGCAAUGGGCGAAAGCCUGACGGAGCAAUACCGCGUGAGGGACGAAGGCUUUUGGGUCGUAAACCUCUUUUCUCAAGGAAGAUGAUGACGGUACUUGAGGAAUAAGCAUCGGCUAACCCUGUG
This 431-nucleotide ribosomal RNA is filed under the name uncultured bacterium. Its description in RNAcentral is "partial 16S ribosomal RNA". It matches the Rfam family "Bacterial small subunit ribosomal RNA", at positions 29 to 507 of the family's 1533-position model. The record is from RNAcentral.